Molecule: ribosomal RNA, 301 nt
Filed under: uncultured bacterium
Lineage: Bacteria
Description: partial 16S ribosomal RNA
Rfam family: Bacterial small subunit ribosomal RNA
Source: RNAcentral
CAGUAGCCGCGGUAAUACGUAGGUGGCAAGCGUUGUCCGGAAUUAUUGGGCGUAAAGGGCUCGCAGGCGGUUUCUUAAGUCUGAUGUGAAAGCCCCCGGCUCAACCGGGGAGGGUCAUUGGAAACCGGGAAACUUGAGUGCAGAAGAGGAGAGUGGAAUUCCACGUGUAGCGGUGAAAUGCGUAGAGAUGUGGAGGAACACCAGUGGCGAAGGCGACUCUCUGGUCUGUAACUGACGCUGAGGAGCGAAAGCGUGGGGAGCGAACAGGAUUAGAUACCCCAGUAGUCCCUGUCUCUUAUAA